This is a long non-coding RNA of Branchiostoma floridae (Florida lancelet), 900 nucleotides long. RefSeq lists it as uncharacterized. The transcript has 3 exons. The record is from RefSeq and is a predicted model, not a curated record. Lineage: Eukaryota; Metazoa; Chordata; Leptocardii; Amphioxiformes; Branchiostomatidae.
UAGCCCCUGUGCCUCGUCAUUGGUCAAUGGUCUGGAGAAGCAAUCAAACGUGACUGCCCAACACGGUUGAAAAUGAUUACUGGUCCGUGAUUGGUCAAGAAAUCAAUCAGUUGUCUAGACUGGGCAAAUCGUAGACGAGCCCCUGUGUAUAUAUGUCUGGAGCACCUGUACCUCGUCAUUAGUCUGCCAGCUGUCUGCGGAGACGGACUCACCUCACCUAAGACAACAGAAACGUCUGGACACCACGGGAGGAAAGAAGUUGGUGCUUGUCACUGAAGGUGCUUCGGGACAACAUCCAGUGCAUCACCAAGCCAAGGGCGCAUGCAGUCUUUCCGAGACAUUCGACAAGGAUCUUACUGGUGCCAUCAAGCCCGGAUCAACUACAGCUGCAAUGUUCAAGUUAAGUGCUUAACAUUGUCUUAUGGGGUUUGAAAUUGUAAUGGUUGCAGAUAUGGACUCCUUUUGCACUCAGGGCUUCGGUCCGUUUCCAUGGUGUACAGGCCUGGUGUGUGGCUGGUUUGGUUUCUGUGACUGUGUCGAUAGUCUAGAUGGAUUCGGCCAGUAACUGCAAAUUCUGUUCUUUACAAAACAGGGUUUUCCCUGGUUCACCAUCUGUUGUCAUUUCUGUUUUAUGUCAUGGUCGGUGGUUGUCGGGGACCUAGACCAUUACAUAAUCUGCCUCGUGUCGUUAUCUUGGGUCCCGAACCAAGAGGACGACACAGGCCAGAAAGGAACGCAUGUGGUUGAACAUUAUUAUUAGUAUUAGAAUUAAUAUCAGUUUCUUCCUUUAGAAAUACUUGACCAUCUCGGCUGUUGGACACAGUCACAGAAACCGAAUCAGCCAUUCAUUGGGCUUGUACACCACAGAAACAGACUGAAGCAAUGAGUGCAGAAGUAGCC